UAGCUUUAUUGUGUGUGGCGCCCC
RNAcentral lists this non-coding RNA (24 nucleotides) under Mus musculus (house mouse). The record is from RNAcentral. Lineage: Eukaryota; Metazoa; Chordata; Mammalia; Rodentia; Muridae.